RNAcentral lists this ribosomal RNA (253 nucleotides) under uncultured bacterium. RNAcentral's name for it is "partial 16S ribosomal RNA". It matches the Rfam family "Bacterial small subunit ribosomal RNA", at positions 524 to 776 of the family's 1533-position model. The record is from RNAcentral.
UACGUAGGGUGCAAGCGGUGUCCGGAUGUACUGGGCGGAAAGAGCGCGCAGGCGGUCGUCCAAGUCGAGUGUGAAAGCCCCCGGCUCAACUGGGGAGGGUCACUCGAUACUGAUCGACUCGAAGGCAGGAGAGGGUAGUGGAAUUCCCGGUGUAGUGGUGAAAUGCGUAGAUAUCGGGAGGAACACCAGUGGCGAAGGCGACUACCUGGCCUGUUCUUGACGCUGAGGCGCGAAAGCUAGGGGAGCAAACGGG